Molecule: ribosomal RNA, 435 nt
Filed under: uncultured bacterium
Lineage: Bacteria
Description: partial 16S ribosomal RNA
Rfam family: Bacterial small subunit ribosomal RNA
Source: RNAcentral
AGCGAACGCUGGCGGCAGGCUUAACACAUGCAAGUCGAGCGGGCACUUUCGGGUGUCCGCGGCGGACGGGUGAGUAACGCGUGGGAACGUGCCCUCUGGUUCGGAAUAACUCAGGGAAACUUGAGCUAAUACCGGAUACGCCCUUUUGGGGAAAGGCUUGCUGCCGGAGGAUCGGCCCGCGUCUGAUUAGCUAGUUGGUGGGGUAACGGCUCACCAAGGCGACGAACAGUAGCUGGUCUGAGAGGAUGAUCAGCCACACUGGGACUGAGACACGGCCCAGACUCCUACGGGAGGCAGCAGUGGGGAAUAUUGGACAAUGGGCGCAAGCCUGAUCCAGCCAUGCCGCGUGAGUGAUGAAGGCCUUAGGGUUGUAAAGCUCUUUUAUCCGGGACGAUAAUGACGGUACCGGAGGAAUAAGCCCCGGCUAACUUCGUG